Molecule: ribosomal RNA, 492 nt
Filed under: uncultured bacterium
Lineage: Bacteria
Description: partial 16S ribosomal RNA
Rfam family: Bacterial small subunit ribosomal RNA
Source: RNAcentral
AGUGAACGCUGGCGGUAGGCCUAACACAUGCAAGUCGAACGGCAGCACAGUAAGAGCUUGCUCUUACGGGUGGCGAGUGGCGGACGGGUGAGGAAUACAUCGGAAUCUACUUUUUCGUGGGGGAUAACGUAGGGAAACUUACGCUAAUACCGCAUACGACCUACGGGUGAAAGCAGGGGAUCUUCGGACCUUGCGCGAUUGAAUGAGCCGAUGUCGGAUUGGCUAGUUGGCGGGGUAAAGGCCCACCAAGGCGACGAUCCGUAGCUGGUCUGAGAGGAUGAUCGGCCACACUGGAACUGAGACACGGUCCAGACUCCUACGGGAGGCAGCAGUGGGGAAUCUUGGACAAUGGGCGCAAGCCUGAUCCAGCCAUACCGCGUGGGUGAAGAAGGCCUUCGGGUUGUAAAGCCCUUUUGUUGGGAAAGAACAGCAGCAGGUUAAUCCCCCGCUGUUCUGACGGUACCCAAAGAAUAAGCACCGGCUAACUUCGUG